Non-coding RNA from Polyodon spathula (Mississippi paddlefish), 72 nucleotides. NCBI's taxonomy places the organism in Eukaryota, Metazoa, Chordata, Actinopteri, Acipenseriformes, Polyodontidae. The record is from the annotation of a RefSeq genome assembly.
GGUGUGGUGGCUAAGAGGUAAGGCGUUGGUCUCGUAAACCGAAGAUCAUGGGUUCAAACCCCGUCUGUACCU